UGGGGAAUAUUGGACAAUGGGCGCAAGCCUGAUCCAGCCAUGCCGCGUGAGUGACGAAGGUCUUCGGAUUGUAAACUCCUGUUGCCCGGGACGAAAUGUUCAGACCUAAUACGUCUGAGUUUGACGGUACCGGGUGAGGAAGCCCCGGCUAACUCUGUGCCAGCAGCCGCGGUAAUACGUAGGGACCAAGCGUUGUUCGGAUUUACUGGGCGUAAAGGGCGCGUAGGCGGCAUGACAAGUCACUUGUGAAAUCUCUGGGCUUAACCCAGAACGGCCAAGUGAUACUGUCGCGCUAGAGUGCAGAAGGGGCAAUCGGAAUUCUUGGUGUAGCGGUGAAAUGCGUAGAUAUCAAGAGGAACACCUGAGGUGAAGACGGGUUGCUGGGCUGACACUGACGCUGAGGCGCGAAAGCCAGGGGAGCAAACGGGAUUAGAUACCCUAGUAGUCCCUGAGCGGGCUGGCAAGGCGCAU
Molecule: ribosomal RNA, 471 nt
Filed under: uncultured bacterium
Lineage: Bacteria
Description: bacterial SSU rRNA
Rfam family: Bacterial small subunit ribosomal RNA
Source: RNAcentral